CAGCAGCCGCGGUAAUACAGAGGGUGCGAGCGUUAAUCGGAUUUACUGGGCGUAAAGCGUGCGUAGGCGGCUUUUUAAGUCGGAUGUGAAAUCCCUGAGCUUAACUUAGGAAUUGCAUUCGAUACUGGGAAGCUAGAGUAUGGGAGAGGAUGGUAGAAUUCCAGGUGUAGCGGUGAAAUGCGUAGAGAUCUGGAGGAAUACCGAUGGCGAAGGCAGCCAUCUGGCCUAAUACUGACGCUGAGGUACGAAAGCAUGGGGAGCAAACAGGAUUAGAUACCCCUGUAGUCCCUGUCUUUAUACA
RNAcentral lists this ribosomal RNA (301 nucleotides) under uncultured bacterium. RNAcentral's name for it is "partial 16S ribosomal RNA". It matches the Rfam family "Bacterial small subunit ribosomal RNA", at positions 509 to 809 of the family's 1533-position model. The record is from RNAcentral.